RNAcentral lists this transfer RNA (67 nucleotides) under Alouatta seniculus (howler monkey). RNAcentral's name for it is "tRNA-Gly". Lineage: Eukaryota; Metazoa; Chordata; Mammalia; Primates; Atelidae. The record is from RNAcentral.
ACUCUCUUAGUAUAAAUAGUACUAUUAACUUCCAAUUAAUAAGCCUUGAUAAACUCGAGAGAGAGUA